This 345-nucleotide ribosomal RNA is filed under the name Triticum aestivum (bread wheat). Its description in RNAcentral is "partial small subunit ribosomal RNA". The record is from RNAcentral. Lineage: Eukaryota; Viridiplantae; Streptophyta; Magnoliopsida; Poales; Poaceae.
AUGCUUGCAAAUCUGUUUGAUUUGGUUGUUGUUUGUUCUUGUCCAAUAUGUGUUCGGUGGUUAGCAAUAUGUUUGUUGGUGCUAUAUUUUCAUUUUGAUGGUAGAAUGUGUGCGUUGUACAUGGUCAAGAGCGUUAGUAAAAGGAGGAAAAGGAUGAUUAGAGCAUCUCCACCCGAAAUAAAGCAUUGUGGGUUUUGUGGCAGUAAUGAGAACCUUAAUCGUCUCUUUUUCGUUAGUCCACUCGCUAGAGUAGGGGGUCCUCUUUGCACUCAGGAUUCAUUACUGGCUGACGACACCGAAUGGCCAUGUAGUAACAAGGAUCAGCAGCAAGCAUCACUCUGCUAG